GACGAACGCUGGCGGCGUGCUUAACACAUGCAAGUCGAACGGUGAUGCUCCAGCUUGCUGGAGUGGAUCAGUGGCGAACGGGUGAGUAACACGUGAGCAACCUGCCCCAGACUCUGGAAUAAGCGCUGGAAACGGCGUCUAAUACUGGAUACGAAACUGGCCCGCAUGGGCAUGGUUUGGAAAGUUGUUCGGUUUGGGAUGGGCUCGCGGCCUAUCAGCUUGUUGGUGAGGUAAUGGCUCACCAAGGGGAAGACGGGUAGCCGGCCUGAGAGGGCGAACGGCCACACCGGGACUGAGACACGGCCCAGACCCCUACGGGACGCAGCAGUGGGGAAUAUUGCACAAUGGGCGAAAGCCUGAUGCAGCGCCGCCGCGUGAGGGAUAACGGCCUUCGGGUUGUAAACCUCUUUCAGCAGGGAAGAAGCGAAAGUGACGGUACCUGCAGAAGAAGCACCGGCUAACUACGUG
RNAcentral lists this ribosomal RNA (468 nucleotides) under uncultured bacterium. Its description in RNAcentral is "partial 16S ribosomal RNA". It matches the Rfam family "Bacterial small subunit ribosomal RNA", at positions 28 to 507 of the family's 1533-position model. The record is from RNAcentral.